GAAGACUAAAGAAGCCUGGGGUCUCAGAGAGGUGAGACUGCCCUUGCCUAUGGGGUAUGUUAAAGCUUAGGAAGAACAUCAUGGUGAUGGGACAUGAAGCUGUAUAAGGCAUAAUUGAAGUGCUGACCCAUUCACAGCAACAAGUCAUUGAGCGGAGACUAUCAGUGAUCAGCCUGGUCAUCAGGCAGAGACAAUGAAGGUACAUUUACAUAUAAUGUAAACAAAACAAACAAGGAGAGGAGAAGACAGCAUGGAAUCUACACCCCAGCAGGAGAUAGCAGCAUUAUUUGCACUUACUUUUUCAAAGGUUUACUGGACUAUAAAGAGGUGGAGAGAAGCCCUGUAUUCCACUAGAGGAGACAACGAGACCAAGCACUUUGAGCUCUAUGAAGGGUCAUAGCUAAAAAGAAUCUGGUCAGCUGUACUGCAAGAAAGACUGGUGAGAACUUCUUUGAACAAAGAACCCUAAUUUGUUAAACUGAGUUUUAGUCUUAGAAGCGUAUUGUUACUUUGUUUGUAACCACUAUCCUUAUUCCUUAUAGACGGUAUCUCUCAAACCUGUGUACUUUUGUGAAUACACUUUUUUUGUUUUCUAUCAUAAACCCUCCACAGCAAUCAAAGCACUGAGUUAGUCACCCCUUAAUAAGCUGCUGUGUAUUGUCUCUUUAAAGGAGCAGUAACCUUAAUAAGAUUUUUUUUUUUUGAGAGGGACUGGACACUUCAGAAAGAAGUUUUCAGGAAGAACUCAGGGCUGGAAGGGUUAUUGAGGUCCCCCUGCAAAGAGUAACUGGGCAGUGCAAGUCAGGGUGAGGUUUGUAUGCUGGCUGGUGCUAGGAGCCACAGGAGCAAAGCAUUCUAGGUACCCAGAGUUGCAAAGCGGAUGGUAACUGAACCCAUUACAGGCCUGGGUAAGAGCAUCACAACAUGUCAUUCAAGUCCCUUUUCCCAAAGAACAGUCAGACGCGCUCUCUCUCUCUUUUUAAAUUCAUGGACAUAAUACAAGGGAGUUAUAAUUUGACGGUGAAAUUACUGGUCUGUGGAACAAAGUCUUAUGUAGUUAAUUAACUGUUUUUGCUCUAAAUCCAUUUGCCAUUCACAAUACUUGUUUGUAAAAUGGAAUAACGGCCUAUCUGUUUUUUUUUCUAGAAAAUAAAGUUGGUGACUCCCUUUAGUAGUAGCAAUGAUGAUUUUUCCUUAGUACAAUUGUUUAAAUUGUUCUUAACAAUAAAUUGCAUCCGAAAUAGUUAAUUUGGUACUGGCAGACUGACUGUAAAUUUAGCAUUAACAAUGCUAAAACUAUACUCAUCUCACUAAUGUAGUUAAGCAAAAUCAAAUAUGGUUUAAACCUGUAUUUUUAACUGUUAAAUUUAUGGAAAUAAGGCAAUUUCAAAUUCUAUAUUGUAGUAGCAACCUGUUACAUUUCAUGUAUUGGAUUGAGAACAAAUAAGCCAAUUGUACAUCUAUUUUUACUCACUGAUGGACACAAGAAAAUUGUGUUCUUAUUCCCUUGUAAUAGGGUUUGAAGUGAACCAGAAUGAGUUCAAUCACUUUCUACAGCAUUUUUGUUCAUUUAAAAUAAAAAAAUUAUAGUGCUGGCCCUUCUACUUGUGCGGCUACACAUCAGAAUGUGAAC
This is a long non-coding RNA of Dermochelys coriacea (leatherback sea turtle), 1633 nucleotides long. RefSeq lists it as uncharacterized. The record is from RefSeq and is a predicted model, not a curated record. NCBI's taxonomy places the organism in Eukaryota, Metazoa, Chordata, Testudines, Dermochelyidae. The transcript is spliced from 3 exons.